This 253-nucleotide ribosomal RNA is filed under the name uncultured bacterium. RNAcentral's name for it is "partial 16S ribosomal RNA". It matches the Rfam family "Bacterial small subunit ribosomal RNA", at positions 524 to 776 of the family's 1533-position model. The record is from RNAcentral.
UACGUAGGGUGCAAGCGUUGUCCGGAAUUAUUGGGCGUAAAGAGCUCGUAGGCGGUCUGUCGCGUCUGCUGUGAAAACUCGGGGCUUAACCCCGGGCCUGCAGUGGGUACGGGCAGACUAGAGUGCGGUAGGGGAGACUGGAAUUCCUGGUGUAGCGGUGAAAUGCGCAGAUAUCUGGAGGAACACCGGUGGCGAAGGCGGCAUCCUGGACCGGUAUUGACGCUGAGGCGCGAAAGCCAGGGGAGCAAACGGG